Molecule: small nuclear RNA, 21 nt
Filed under: Arabidopsis thaliana (thale cress)
Lineage: Eukaryota; Viridiplantae; Streptophyta; Magnoliopsida; Brassicales; Brassicaceae
Description: snRNA_11738
Source: RNAcentral
ACAAACAGAUCUUUUUGAAAU